UCUCUUAUAGAGACUGGAAUC
RNAcentral lists this non-coding RNA (21 nucleotides) under Caenorhabditis elegans. Lineage: Eukaryota; Metazoa; Nematoda; Chromadorea; Rhabditida; Rhabditidae. The record is from RNAcentral.